Molecule: ribosomal RNA, 353 nt
Filed under: alpha proteobacterium 9-4
Lineage: Bacteria; Pseudomonadati; Pseudomonadota; Alphaproteobacteria
Description: bacterial SSU rRNA
Rfam family: Bacterial small subunit ribosomal RNA
Source: RNAcentral
GGCAAGCGUUGUUCGGAAUUACUGGGCGUAAAGGGCGCGUAGGCGGAUAUUCAAGUCAGAGGUGAAAGCCCCGGGCUCAACCUGGGAAUUGCCUUUGAAACUGGAUGUCUGGAGUUCGGGAGAGGUGAGCGGAAUACCCAGUGUAGAGGUGAAAUUCGUAGAUAUUGGGUAGAACACCGGUGGCGAAGGCGGCUCACUGGCCCGCAACUGACGCUGAGGCGCGAAAGCGUGGGGAGCAAACAGGAUUAGAUACCCUGGUAGUCCACGCCGUAAACGAUGUGUGCUAGCCGUUGGGAUGCUUUGCAUUUCAGUGGCGCAGCUAACGCGAUAAGCACACCGCCUGGGGAGUACGG